UGCCAGCAGCCGCGGUAACACAGGGGUCCCAAGCGUUGUUCGGAUUUACUGGGCGUAAAGGGUGCGCAGGCGGCAGGAUAAGUUUGAUGUGAAAGCUCCGAGCUCAACUCGGAAAAUGCAUUGAAAACUGUCUUGCUAGAGGAUCGGAGAGGAGACUGGAAUUCUUGGUGUAGCAGUGAAAUGCGUAGAUAUCAAGAGGAACACCAAUGGCGAAGGCAGGUCUCUGGACGGUUCCUGACGCUGAGGCACGAAAGCUAGGGGAGCAAACAGGAUUAGAUA
Molecule: ribosomal RNA, 279 nt
Filed under: uncultured bacterium
Lineage: Bacteria
Description: partial 16S ribosomal RNA
Rfam family: Bacterial small subunit ribosomal RNA
Source: RNAcentral